GGGCUGUUAGCUCAGUGGUAGAGCGCUCGCUUUGCAUGCGAGAUGCCGAGGGUUCGAUCCCCUCACAGUCCA
This is a non-coding RNA of Paramacrobiotus metropolitanus, 72 nucleotides long. NCBI's taxonomy places the organism in Eukaryota, Metazoa, Tardigrada, Eutardigrada, Parachela, Macrobiotidae. The record is from the annotation of a RefSeq genome assembly.